CGGGGCGUGGGGGAGCGCCACCCAGGCCCAUGGCCUUCCCUCAGGACGCUCGUCCCUGCCGUUGACCUUCCCUGGGCCCCGCUCAGCUCUCAGGAGGACAGACAGGAGUGUUGUCUUCCCCCGGAACCGCCCCCACCACACACACACACAUCCUGCAUAUUAAACUCGACAGCCGAGAACCUGGUUCCCGGACGACCACAGAGAAUCUGGAGGCCUUUUGGUGGUGGGGUCGCCCUGUAUAUUCCGCCCCAACACAGAGGAUCUCGGAAAACCAGCCAGUUCUGUUUGGGCACAGAAGGCAGCCUGGUUUCAACUGUCAACAGUAAGGACGCGCCUACAGGCCCCUCAAAGAGGAGACGAGUUCAGCCCAGAGUCACAGUGAGGUAAGAAAGCCCCAGUCUGGCAGGUAGGCCUCUCCAGGUAGGACGGCCAUCAUUGGCACAUCCCCUACCCUCUUGGUUGGCCGAGACCCCCAUGCCAGGUCUGAGACCCGGAUGGUCCUUCCCGGAGCAUGUAGCCCCAGACAGAGCUACCGGCUGCAGCAGGAAAGCUCCAGGACUUUCUCCAGGCUCCUCAGAAAGACACCAAGAAGGCCAGAUCUGGUUCCUGGUGCAAACCCCCCAGCAGCCACCAGCCACCGCCCCCCCCCCCACAAACUUCAGCUGUCUCACCUCCCAGCACACGCCUCCCACUUGUGCGUGUGCUAGUUGCCCUGGAGACCUAAGUGCGGGCUUGAAUGGAGUCUCACACACCCAGCGGGGAGAUGGAAUAGGGCCAGCCCUCGGCAAUCACCAGGCCUGA
Molecule: long non-coding RNA, 801 nt
Filed under: Capra hircus (goat)
Lineage: Eukaryota; Metazoa; Chordata; Mammalia; Artiodactyla; Bovidae
Description: lncRNA (ENSCHIG00000006841.1)
Source: RNAcentral